This is a long non-coding RNA of Myotis myotis, 468 nucleotides long. RefSeq lists it as uncharacterized. Lineage: Eukaryota; Metazoa; Chordata; Mammalia; Chiroptera; Vespertilionidae. The transcript has 3 exons. The record is from RefSeq and is a predicted model, not a curated record.
CACCGCUUUCAGGCUUCGGACCGACUCCUUGGAGUGAAACAAACGGUCGUCCUAGGUUAUUGGUGAUGAUGGAUUGGGAGCGAGGCAUUGUCCAAGUGAAGGAAAACAAAAUAGGAAAAUGUUGCCUUGCCAACCUGAAAUAAAAAGAGCUAAUCGUCUUGUGUGAGUUGUGUCAACUAAGACGUAUGGGAUCGUGGCAGAGCCUGGAGAGACGGACGUUCAAGACCACUGUUGAGAGCGUACUCUGCAUAGACUCUGUCUGAGGUGAUAACUGGACAGGACUCUAAACUUCCAGUGCAGACGGAUGGGAGAGACAGACACAGACAAUGAAGACAAUGUGGUUUGAGAAAUCAGACCAAAAACUGAACAUAGCCGAAACCGGUUUGGCUCAGUGGAUGGAGUGUCGGCCUCCGGACUGAAAGGUCCCAGGUUCGAUUCCGGUCAAGGGCAUGUACCUGGGUUGCGGGC